CAAGAACGUUUCUCAUAAUUUCAUCUCAAUUCAAAUGAAUAUGCAAUAUGAUCAAAUGACAGUCAGAAUCAUAAGCCUACAAGGAAACAGACCAAUUAAAUGCCUUGCCGCUCAUCACAAGUAAUCAUCUAGAAAAAGACCCUCUAAACUGCUAUUUCUACUAUUUGUUGAAAUCACUUACCACUUGCCAAUCACACUAUACCACAUCAGGGCAAACACCGUCGUGGCAACCAUCACCUGUGGCAUACGAUGGCAGUAGCAAGUCAAUCUAAAACAAACAAUUUAAGAUAAAUCAAGUCCUCAAACCUUUUUAAUUAGUAAUUUCGACUCCUAUUGCCUCCUCUAAACCUCCAAGGUCUCCUUGCCCUUGUCAACAGUAACCUGUGGAGACCACGACCAGAUAGUGCAGCAGGACCACUAGCCACAGGACGACGCAACUCAUAAUCAUCCUCAUCCAAUGAAUCAAAGUCCAGGUGAAAUCCAUUGCGAUAACGACCACUACUCUGUCCUCGAUUAAAGGACUCCAAAGGAAAGAAAUGAUCAUUCAGAGGCUCAUCCAAAUCAUAAUCAUAACCAUUAAAAAUGCCAUGACGGCCUGGCUCAAUCACAUAAUCCCCCAGCACCACAGCCCCCGGAGAUGACGACAUAAUUGUGCUGAUCACAUCACUUUGCUCCCUCUCACAUUCAAGCUUCUUCCAUUUUUCUUCAAGAACGGGGUCUACAGCUCGAGGUCGUGCCAAGGGAUGGUUGGCCUUAACAUGCUUCCUGAGCUGUUUAUAAUUUCCAACAAAUGAGCACUUAUCCUGCAUGCAGAUUCUUUUUUUGGCAUUGAGAUGCUUCCGGGCUGGUUCCACCACCGUCCAACCCUUCACCUGACCCCGACAGAGUGGGCAUAACAGUUCUGGAAUUUCCAUCUUCUCUUUGGCCUGCCCAUCACCCAAAUGGAAACUUGAAUAGUCUGCUGACCUGUUCAAUUGUUGUAUCACUUCAGUUGGCGUUACUUUGGUAUAGGCUUUUUUGUAUUGUUCAAGACAAUUGGCAAAUCGACGACUAGUGGCACACAUAUAUGGACGACAACCCUUGUUAUAAGAGGAACAAAGAAGGAGCACUGCAUUGUGAGGAAAUUCCAGACAAACAGAACAGGUUGCACCUUCCCAAUCAUUCUUCUCCAAGGCUUUUGGAUUUUUCUUCUUUGAGUGGCAAUCUUUAGCACUCUUCCUUUGGCAAGAUGGCAAAGGAUAUGGAGUCACU
RNAcentral lists this unclassified non-coding RNA (1251 nucleotides) under Hevea brasiliensis (rubber tree). The record is from RNAcentral. Lineage: Eukaryota; Viridiplantae; Streptophyta; Magnoliopsida; Malpighiales; Euphorbiaceae.